UUUAUCAAGAAAGGUGGAGGGACUGGCCCUAUGAAACCUAGCAACAGCUGAUAUCAUAAAUCAGAAUUGUGCUAAAUCCUGCGAAGGAGUUUAUUCCUUUGAUAGAUAAA
This 110-nucleotide non-coding RNA is filed under the name Clostridium massiliamazoniense. RNAcentral's name for it is "SAM riboswitch (S box leader)". It matches the Rfam family "SAM riboswitch aptamer (S box leader)". Rfam says of the family: The SAM riboswitch is found upstream of a number of genes which code for proteins involved in methionine or cysteine biosynthesis in Gram-positive bacteria. The SAM riboswitch acts at the level of transcription termination control. The record is from RNAcentral. Lineage: Bacteria; Bacillati; Bacillota; Clostridia; Eubacteriales; Clostridiaceae.